UCGAUUCCCGCUGCCCCGGCCUCGCCCAGCGCCGCCAGGCUGCCAGGGCUGCCCCUGCACCCGGUGUGGGCAGAGCCACCACCGGUGGCCCUGGCGCAUGCACGGCUCCCCAGACCAUUAAUUCUCGACCAGCCUGCAGCGCGGGUGCCUUCUCACGGGACUGCCAAAAGAAGGGAUCUGGUGUCUGGGAGCUCAGCCAUGAGCAUAGGGAAAAUGGAGGAUUAUACCCCACCAGCAGGAAAGGCAAGCCCAAGGAUAAUUUACUUAAGCAGAGAUUUAUGGGUGGAAGACUGGAAAUAAAAUACCUACAACAUAAGAUGCUCGAGAAGAAGAUAUUCUCCCAGUUUUCGUUUGUCAGAUGAAGGCACUGCUAAGGAUAUCCCAGCCACUGUGCAGGUUCAUGGAAAACACGUGUGCGUGUGUAUUGUGUGCACACAUACAUGAUGAAGAGGGUUUGCUGUAGUAUGGUAAGUAUCAGUCUCUUCGAUUUAUUUUAUGUGAAACUGACAAUUUAAAGUAUUUUAAGAGAAGGUACUUGUCUUUCACGUUCAUUGCCUUUUUUUUUUUCCUACACAUAAUAAAUAUUUAGAAAACCGUUCUUGUAUUUCA
This 609-nucleotide long non-coding RNA is filed under the name Anser cygnoides (Swan goose). RNAcentral describes it as "lncRNA (ENSACDG00005013022.1)". Lineage: Eukaryota; Metazoa; Chordata; Aves; Anseriformes; Anatidae. The record is from RNAcentral.